UGGGGAAUAUUGCACAAUGGGCGAAAGCCUGAUGCAGCAACGCCGCGUGAGUGAUGAAGGUCUUCGGAUUGUAAAGCUCUGUCUUUUGGGACGAUAAUGACGGUACCAAAGGAGGAAGCCACGGCUAACUACGUGCCAGCAGCCGCGGUAAUACGUAGGUGGCGAGCGUUGUCCGGAUUUACUGGGCGUAAAGGGUGCGUAGGCGGAUGUUUAAGUGAGAUGUGAAAUACCCGGGCUUAACUUGGGUGCUGCAUUUCAAACUGGAUAUCUAGAGUGCAGGAGAGGAGAAUGGAAUUCCUAGUGUAGCGGUGAAAUGCGUAGAGAUUAGGAAGAACACCAGUGGCGAAGGCGAUUCUCUGGACUGUAACUGACGCUGAGGCACGAAAGCGUGGGUAGCAAACAGGAUUAGAUACCCUGGUAGUCCACGCCGUAAAACGAUGAGUACUAAGUGUAGGAGGUAUCGACCCCUUCUGUGCCGCAGUAAACACAUUAAGUACUCCGCCUGGGAAGUACGAUCGCAAGAUUAAAACUCUAAAGUGAAUUGACGGGGUC
RNAcentral lists this ribosomal RNA (552 nucleotides) under uncultured bacterium. RNAcentral describes it as "partial 16S ribosomal RNA". It matches the Rfam family "Bacterial small subunit ribosomal RNA", at positions 355 to 920 of the family's 1533-position model. The record is from RNAcentral.